AUGCACGCUGGCGGCAUGCCUCACACAUGCAAGUCGCACGAGACCUUCGGGUCUAGUGGCGCACGGGUGCGUAACGCGUGGGAACCUGCCCUUAGGUUCGGAAUAACUCCCCGAAAGGGGUGCUAAUACCGGAUAAUGUCUUCGGACCAAAGAUUUAUCGCCUUUGGAUGGGCCCGCGUUGGAUUAGCUAGUUGGUAGGGUAAAAGCCUACCAAGGCGACGAUCCAUAGCUGGUCUGAGAGGAUGAUCAGCCACACUGGGACUGAGACACGGCCCAGACUCCUACGGGAGGCAGCAGUGGGGAAUAUUGGACAAUGGGCGAAAGCCUGAUCCAGCAAUGCCGCGUGAGUGAUGAAGGCCUUAGGGUUGUAAAGCUCUUUUACCCGGGAUGAUAAUGACAGUACCGGGAGAAUAAGCUCCGGCUAACUCCGUG
Molecule: ribosomal RNA, 432 nt
Filed under: uncultured bacterium
Lineage: Bacteria
Description: partial 16S ribosomal RNA
Rfam family: Bacterial small subunit ribosomal RNA
Source: RNAcentral